Molecule: transfer RNA, 67 nt
Filed under: Doryteuthis opalescens
Lineage: Eukaryota; Metazoa; Mollusca; Cephalopoda; Myopsida; Loliginidae
Description: tRNA-Arg
Source: RNAcentral
UGACAAGAAAUGAUUUAUCAUAUAUGAUUUCGGCUCAUACAUUAGGUGUAAUAUACACCCUUGUUAA